AUUAUAUUACUUUAGGAGUGGGACAUGCAACAAAAAGGGUGAGCAUAUAAAAUAUUUAUUAUAAUAAUAAAUAUUUUAUAUGCUCACCCUUUUUGUUGCAUGUCCCACUCCUAAAGUAA
Molecule: non-coding RNA, 119 nt
Organism: Paramuricea clavata
Lineage: Eukaryota; Metazoa; Cnidaria; Anthozoa; Malacalcyonacea; Plexauridae
Source: the annotation of a GenBank genome assembly